RNAcentral lists this ribosomal RNA (449 nucleotides) under uncultured bacterium. RNAcentral describes it as "partial 16S ribosomal RNA". It matches the Rfam family "Bacterial small subunit ribosomal RNA", at positions 29 to 523 of the family's 1533-position model. The record is from RNAcentral.
AAUGAACGCUGGCGGCAGGCCUAACACAUGCAAGUCGAACGGAUCCUUCGGGAUUAGUGGCGGACGGGUGAGUAACGCGUGGGAACAUACCCUUUGGUACGGAAUAGCCUCGGGAAACUGGGAGUAAUACCGUAUGUGGUCGAGAGACGAAAGAUUUAUCGCCAAAGGAUUGGCCCGCGUUGGAUUAGGUAGUUGGUGGGGUAAUGGCCUACCAAGCCGACGAUCCAUAGCUGGUUUGAGAGGAUGAUCAGCCACACUGGGACUGAGACACGGCCCAGACUCCUACGGGAGGCAGCAGUGGGGGGUCUUAGACAAUGGGGGAAACCCUGAUCUAGCCAUGCCGCGUGAUCGAUGAAGGCCUUAGGGUUGUAAAGAUCUUUCAGGUGGGAAGAUAAUGACUGUACCACCAGAAGAAGCCCCGGCUAACUCCGUGCCAGCAGCCGCCGUAA